Molecule: long non-coding RNA, 368 nt
Organism: Hibiscus syriacus
Lineage: Eukaryota; Viridiplantae; Streptophyta; Magnoliopsida; Malvales; Malvaceae
Exons: 4
Source: RefSeq, a predicted model, not a curated record
UAAUAAAUAAGUUUGGUUGUAAAUAAAGAUUUAGAGAAAAGAUGAAAAGAAUUAUUCAUCUUCUUCUCCUCCAAGUCAAUGGGUGAUAGAAAGACAAGAUAAGUAUAAGAAGGAAGGUAAAGGUGAAAGAGCUCCAUCUUGGGAUUCUAGCAACAAGAGUGCUGGUGUUCAUGGAAAAUGGCCAAAGGCUCGGACUAAGUUAGUAAGCUCAAGUUCAAGAAAUUAAGGUUUUGAGGGUCACGAUGGGACAACGAUGUUAUGAGAGGAGUCUCAACGAGAGUACUAGAGUAAGACGAUGAAGACAUAUAGAGAUUACGAAUUUAUUCGAGUCAGUUGUAAAUUAUUUUAUUGCGUAUUUUGGUUUUCAA